Molecule: non-coding RNA, 231 nt
Organism: Vicia faba (fava bean)
Lineage: Eukaryota; Viridiplantae; Streptophyta; Magnoliopsida; Fabales; Fabaceae
Source: the annotation of a GenBank genome assembly
AUGAAAAACUUUACUGUAGAAAGUACUUCACAACUCACGAGUCGCAGCAGUAAAGAUCUAGAAUUAAUAUAUUCUAAUCUAAACAGUAAGCACCUUCCUCUUUCACCCAACUUCCUUUUAACCUUUCUCUGCUUAUUCUAUAUAAAACCUCUCUUUCCAUACACUAAAAAUGGAAACUCUUCUUUACUGCAUCAUCUUGAUCUCACCUCAUCUUUGAAAAACCCUAGCUAG